This 405-nucleotide ribosomal RNA is filed under the name uncultured bacterium. Its description in RNAcentral is "partial 16S ribosomal RNA". It matches the Rfam family "Bacterial small subunit ribosomal RNA", at positions 28 to 526 of the family's 1533-position model. The record is from RNAcentral.
GACGAACGCUGGCGGCGUGCUUAACACAUGCAAGUCGAACGAGUGGCGAACGGGUGAGUAACACGUGGGUGACCUGCUCUGCACUUCGGGAUAAGCCUGGGAAACUGGGUCUACUACCGGAUAGUGUGGGAUGGGCCCGAGGCCUAUCAGCUUGUUGGUGGGGUAAUGGCUACCAAGGCGCGACGGGUAGCCGGCCUGAGAGGGUGGACGGCCACAGUGGGACUGAGACACGGCCCAGACUCCUACGGGAGGCAGCAGUGGGGAAUAUUGCACAAUGGGCGGAAGCCUGAUGCAGCCAUGCCGCGUGUGUGAAGAAGGCCUUCGGGUUGUAAAGCACUUUCAGCGAGGAGGCGUUACUCGCAGAAGAAGCACCGGCUAACUCCGUGCCAGCAGCCGCGGUAAUAC